UUCCGAUGCUAAGACGCUAGCUGCCUG
This 27-nucleotide small RNA is filed under the name Bombyx mori (domestic silkworm). RNAcentral's name for it is "ovarian small RNA-37201". The record is from RNAcentral. Lineage: Eukaryota; Metazoa; Arthropoda; Insecta; Lepidoptera; Bombycidae.